CGUUCGGUUCUCGGCGGAGAAUGUUGUUAGGGGCUAGAUAUAAUAUUUUAUUUGAGAUGAUACACUCCAGACUUGAAAGAGAGUUGACCCAAGUAUCCGCAAUCUGCUGACGGGUUAAUAAGCAGACGGGCGAAAGUAGGUAAAGUGACACCCCAAGACCUUCACAAUGAACCUUGCUAAGAGGUUCGGGCUAAGUCCUUUUAGGAUAUGCUUAAAACGGGGAGAGGUAGGCUGAAAGCGACAUGAUGAGGACACGAACAAGACCCGAAAGGGUAGCAGGUAGGGCAUGCAGACGCCUGCAAAAAGUUCGUUCAAAGCUUGAGAUAGUUUUGAAGUUUUAACCCCC
Molecule: non-coding RNA, 346 nt
Submitted as: unclassified sequences
Source: Rfam